This 388-nucleotide long non-coding RNA is filed under the name Spirodela polyrhiza (greater duckweed). Its description in RNAcentral is "long non-coding RNA (SPOL_LNC000764)". Lineage: Eukaryota; Viridiplantae; Streptophyta; Magnoliopsida; Alismatales; Araceae. The record is from RNAcentral.
GUGAUUUGCGAAUAUUUGACCCAGUCGAAGAUGGAGACCCCGAGAACAAUGGAGACGAGUCUCCCCGAUGCGAGACAAACGGCCAUGGCCGGUCUCCCAGCCCCGACGACACUGGGCGGGAGCUGCAGAUGCAGCGCCGAAUCCAGAAACCAGAAGAACAAAAGGGUGAGUAGAGCUUCAUCAACCCAUCAAACUUCCCAUCGAGAAAAUCGAAGGAAAACAGCGACGAUCGGAAAGUCCACCGACGAACGAAGAAGGAACCAACGGAGGCACGCCAAGAAUGACUUCUUUCGAUUUCACUGGCGCGAACUGCAAUGAGAACUUGCCGGCGGACGAGACGAUCUCCCCACUCCCCAGCAAGAACUCGCUGAUCCUCUUCUUCGGCGAC